UACGUAGGGGGCAAGCGUUGUCCGGAAUUACUGGGCGUAAAGCGUGCGCAGGCGGUUCGUUAAGUUCGUUGUGAAAGCCCCGGGCUCAACCUGGGAACUGCAAUGGAAACUGGCGGGCUUGAGUGUGGCAGAGGGGGGUGGAAUUCCGCGUGUAGCAGUGAAAUGCGUAGAGAUGCGGAGGAACACCGAUGGCGAAGGCAGCCCCCUGGGCCAACACUGACGCUCAGGCACGAAAGCGUGGGGAGCAAACAGG
This 253-nucleotide ribosomal RNA is filed under the name uncultured bacterium. RNAcentral's name for it is "partial 16S ribosomal RNA". It matches the Rfam family "Bacterial small subunit ribosomal RNA", at positions 524 to 776 of the family's 1533-position model. The record is from RNAcentral.